AUUGAACGCCGGCGGCAGGCCUAACACAUGCAAGUCGAGCGGAUGAAGGGAGCUUGCUCCUGGAUUCAGCGGCGGACGGGUGAGUAAUGCCUAGGAAUCUGCCUGGUAGUGGGGGAUAACGUCCGGAAACGGGCGCUAAUACCGCAUACGUCCUGAGGGAGAAAGUGGGGGAUCUUCGGACCUCACGCUAUCAGAUGAGCCUAGGUCGGAUUAGCUAGUUGGUGGGGUAAAGGCCUACCAAGGCGACGAUCCGUAACUGGUCUGAGAGGAUGAUCAGUCACACUGGAACUGAGACACGGUCCAGACUCCUACGGGAGGCAGCAGUGGGGAAUAUUGGACAAUGGGCGAAAGCCUGAUCCAGCCAUGCCGCGUGUGUGAAGAAGGUCUUCGGAUUGUAAAGCACUUUAAGUUGGGAGGAAGGGCAGUAAGUUAAUACCUUGCUGUUUUGACGUUACCAACAGAAUGAGCACCGGCUAACUUCGUG
Molecule: ribosomal RNA, 484 nt
Filed under: uncultured bacterium
Lineage: Bacteria
Description: partial 16S ribosomal RNA
Rfam family: Bacterial small subunit ribosomal RNA
Source: RNAcentral